RNAcentral lists this unclassified non-coding RNA (186 nucleotides) under soil metagenome. Its description in RNAcentral is "partial contains 5.8S ribosomal RNA, internal transcribed spacer 2, and large subunit ribosomal RNA". The record is from RNAcentral.
AACAAGGCGUACCUGCGGACCUGCGGAAGGAUCAUUACAGAGUUGCAAAACUCCCAACCAUUGUGAACGAACCGCUGUGCUCAGGCGGGUGGCCCUGCUGCCGCCCGCCGGGAGCACGCAAGCUCUUUAAUUUCGUGGAUAUCUGAGUAGCUCAUUCAAUGAGUCAAAACUUUUAACAAUGGAUCU